GGCCCAUUACUAGGAGCAAUCUCUAUAUGACUAGUCUUCCUCUUCUUCACAUUCGGUAAGCCAGUCAGUAAUUUCUCUACAGUGAACUUCAUUUAUGCUCAAGUCAAGAAAUCAUAGUAUCAGGACAUGUGAACAAGGAAAGAGAGUAAAGAAACUGAAGAUUUUAAAAAAAUUCAUUUAUUUCCUAUCGCUUCUCUAGGGUUACA
Molecule: long non-coding RNA, 206 nt
Filed under: Elaeis guineensis (African oil palm)
Lineage: Eukaryota; Viridiplantae; Streptophyta; Magnoliopsida; Arecales; Arecaceae
Description: long non-coding RNA (EGUI_LNC002827)
Source: RNAcentral